This 225-nucleotide non-coding RNA is filed under the name Pseudoramibacter alactolyticus. RNAcentral describes it as "T-box sequence". It matches the Rfam family "T-box leader". From Rfam's summary of the family: Uncharged tRNA acts as the effector for transcription antitermination of genes in the T-box leader family. The record is from RNAcentral. Lineage: Bacteria; Bacillati; Bacillota; Clostridia; Eubacteriales; Eubacteriaceae.
UCAAAAGUGAUGAUCAGGAAGAGUAGUCCGCGAAGGGGUGCCUCAGCGAGCCGGGAUAGGUGAAAGCCGGCGCAGGCCCCGCGGGCGAAUGGCCCUGAGAACGCGGCCCGAAUCCGGCAUGCCGGCAGUAGGCGCCGCCGGCAAUGCCCGUUACCACGCAAAAGCGAGGGAACGCGUGCGCGUUAAUUUGGGUGGUACCGCAGAAGUCAGGCUUUUGUCCCAUGG